Long non-coding RNA from Myotis daubentonii (Daubenton's bat), 1298 nucleotides. RefSeq lists it as uncharacterized. The transcript has 3 exons. Lineage: Eukaryota; Metazoa; Chordata; Mammalia; Chiroptera; Vespertilionidae. The record is from RefSeq and is a predicted model, not a curated record.
GGACCGCGGCAGGGCCUCGGCCUGGACCGGGGCGCAGCGCCCCUGACACCGGCUGAGCGCGGGCCUGUAGGAGACAUAAGACCUGGGCGACCUACAGGAUGGACUGUAAACUCCACAGGACUCGGCCAGCGAGGACCCGGAGGGACUCCCGCGCAGUAGGAGAAAAUUGCCCGCUGCUGCCCCGGGUGAGCCCUCCGCCCCGGGCGAGCCUGCUGCCACGGCCCCGCUGAGAGCUGGUAGAAGGCCUCUUGCCGCCCCUCUGUCUCCCAGCCCAGGAUCUGAAUUCGGACAGGAGCCACCAGCUGGAGGGGGCAGCCCACAGCUGGGCAGAAGGACGGAUAGCACCCGUGCUUUAGCUCGUUCCAGCCCAUCCAUGUGGGUCGCCGCCGCUAGACUCCUGCACAUUCUGAGGCACCAAGAGAGGAAAUAACCCCAUAGAUGUCUCCUCCCCACCCGAGAGGGGCUCCCAGCCCCCCUGUUUUGGCCCCAGCCAACCCCCCUCCUGCCCAGCCCCCUCCUUGUCCAAAAGACGUUUUUUCAUGAAUCUGGGGCUGUAACAUAAUAAAAAAAUGAAUACACUGUGCCCCUUAAUGGCAGGGAUGCGCUGAGUCAUGCAUCGCUAGGUGAAUUCGUCACUGUGUAAACAUCAUAGAGAAAAGGCUACAAAGGGCUAAUUCCAAUGUAACCCUGAUCUUUGGGGGGCUAGCCAUUGGAAUCCAUGCCAGCAGGCCCAGUGGACAUUCCUGAUAAUCUAUAAUUAAGCCACUACCUCCUUCCCAGAAACUGGUCUUGCAGAACCUGUUACAGAGGCCAUAAAACUGUGAACAGUGCACUGCCCCAGAGGGAGGGUGAUUAACGCUGGCGCCAGGCCAGACCAUCAGAUAUGGCCCUGAGACCCCCAACACCUGGGGGCCUUCUUGCAAGGCCCGCGAAAAGGACCCGAAGCAUAAUUCAUAUUUGCAGGACAAAGACCACAGGGAGAUAUAAAGAGAAGCCCCCUGCAUGUUUCUUCACUCAGAUUUGGAAAGUUAUUCCCUGAGUCCGCUGGCAUAUUAAACAGUGUCCCUCCUUUUCUUUAAAGCGUCGCUUGGUUUUUCUGUCGUCUUCUGCAACAAUAGAGCACCUACAUGGCUCUAUGGCUACCACCAGAAUACAUGCAGUUCAUCCUUGCCAAAACCUGGUUAUGAGGGGAAUGGCUGUACUUGGUGUUUGUUCCAGAUCCUGGCACGUAGCUCCUAAAACCCUUGGAAUUUCCAGAGUGAUAAGAGUGUCUUUUGUAUGAUAAAAAAAACCAUUGA